AUCAACAGAAUGGGUUGAAGAACAUGUUCUUAACUUAGGUGCAAGUGCUGUUGCUUAUCUUAAUGUUGAUUGUGCGGUCCAAGGCUCUGGAUUUUUUGCUGGUGCAACUCCUCAACUAGACAGUGUUCUUGUAGAUGCCUUGAAGCUGGUCCAAGAUCCUGAUGAUGUAACUUUGACAGUUGAAGAGACAUUCAAGUCUCAGAAUAACAAUAUAGAGAGGCUAAGUAGAG
Long non-coding RNA from Brassica oleracea var. oleracea, 230 nucleotides. RefSeq lists it as uncharacterized. The transcript is spliced from 3 exons. The record is from RefSeq and is a predicted model, not a curated record. Lineage: Eukaryota; Viridiplantae; Streptophyta; Magnoliopsida; Brassicales; Brassicaceae.